UUUCCGUAGGUGAACCUGCGGAAGGAUCAUUCAUAAUAAAGUGUUUUAUGGCACUUUUUAAAAAUCCAUAUCCACCUUGUGUGCAAUGUUAGAUCUCGUCAAUCUUGGCGAGAUUUUUAUACAUCAACUCAUUCUUUCACUAAUUUGUCUGAAAAAUAUUAUGAAUACUUAAUUCAAAAUACAACUUUCAACAACGGAUCUCUUGGCUCUC
This 211-nucleotide unclassified non-coding RNA is filed under the name plant metagenome. Its description in RNAcentral is "partial contains small subunit ribosomal RNA, internal transcribed spacer 1, and 5.8S ribosomal RNA". The record is from RNAcentral.